Molecule: ribosomal RNA, 785 nt
Filed under: Haloferax sp.
Lineage: Archaea; Methanobacteriati; Methanobacteriota; Halobacteria; Halobacteriales; Haloferacaceae
Description: bacterial SSU rRNA
Rfam family: Archaeal small subunit ribosomal RNA
Source: RNAcentral
ACUCGUGGCGAAAGCUCAGUAACACGUGGCCAAACUACCCUACAGAGAACGAUAACCUCGGGAAACUGAGGCUAAUAGUUCAUACGGGAGUCAUGCUGGAAUGCCGACUCCCCGAAACGCUCAGGCGCUGUAGGAUGUGGCUGCGGCCGAUUAGGUAGACGGUGGGGUAACGGCCCACCGUGCCGAUAAUCGGUACGGGUUGUGAGAGCAAGAGCCCGGAGACGGAAUCUGAGACAAGAUUCCGGGCCCUACGGGGCGCAGCAGGCGCGAAACCUUUACACUGCACGCAAGUGCGAUAAGGGGACCCCAAGUGCGAGGGCAUAUAGUCCUCGCUUUUCACGACUGUAAGGCGGUCGAGGAAUAAGAGCUGGGCAAGACCGGUGCCAGCCGCCGCGGUAAUACCGGCAGCUCAAGUGAUGACCGAUAUUAUUGGGCCUAAAGCGUCCGUAGCCGGCCACGAAGGUUCAUCGGGAAAUCCGCCAGCUCAACUGGCGGGCGUCCGGUGAAAACCACGUGGCUUGGGACCGGAAGGCUCGAGGGGUACGUCCGGGGUAGGAGUGAAAUCCCGUAAUCCUGGACGGACCACCGAUGGCGAAAGCACCUCGAGAAGACGGAUCCGACGGUGAGGGACGAAAGCUAGGGUCUCGAACCGGAUUAGAUACCCGGGUAGUCCUAGCUGUAAACGAUGCUCGCUAGGUGUGACACAGGCUACGAGCCUGUGUUGUGCCGUAGGGAAGCCGAGAAGCGAGCCGCCUGGGAAGUACGUCCGCAAGGAUGAAACUAAA